Molecule: non-coding RNA, 46 nt
Filed under: Trichobilharzia regenti
Lineage: Eukaryota; Metazoa; Platyhelminthes; Trematoda; Strigeidida; Schistosomatidae
Source: RNAcentral
NUACUGAUGAAGAGUCUCAAACUGGGACGAAACAGCUGUCAAGUAC